RNAcentral lists this ribosomal RNA (386 nucleotides) under Enterobacter sp. UR33. RNAcentral's name for it is "bacterial SSU rRNA". It matches the Rfam family "Bacterial small subunit ribosomal RNA", at positions 968 to 1354 of the family's 1533-position model. The record is from RNAcentral. RNAcentral also lists the same sequence under 1 other name. Lineage: Bacteria; Pseudomonadati; Pseudomonadota; Gammaproteobacteria; Enterobacterales; Enterobacteriaceae.
ACCUUACCUACUCUUGACAUCCAGAGAACUUUCCAGAGAUGGAUUGGUGCCUUCGGGAACUCUGAGACAGGUGCUGCAUGGCUGUCGUCAGCUCGUGUUGUGAAAUGUUGGGUUAAGUCCCGCAACGAGCGCAACCCUUAUCCUUUGUUGCCAGCGGUCCGGCCGGGAACUCAAAGGAGACUGCCAGUGAUAAACUGGAGGAAGGUGGGGAUGACGUCAAGUCAUCAUGGCCCUUACGAGUAGGGCUACACACGUGCUACAAUGGCGCAUACAAAGAGAAGCGACCUCGCGAGAGCAAGCGGACCUCAUAAAGUGCGUCGUAGUCCGGAUUGGAGUCUGCAACUCGACUCCAUGAAGUCGGAAUCGCUAGUAAUCGUAGAUCAGAA